GUAAUGACGUUCGACUAAAAUCGGCACGUCCUGUGCCAACGUCGAACUGACCUGCAUCCUGCAG
Molecule: small RNA, 64 nt
Filed under: Thalassobacillus devorans
Lineage: Bacteria; Bacillati; Bacillota; Bacilli; Caryophanales; Bacillaceae
Description: Bacillaceae-1 RNA
Rfam family: Bacillaceae-1 RNA
Source: RNAcentral